AGCUGAGUGGCGAAAGGGUGAGUAACACGUGGGUAAUCUGCCUCAGAGACGGGGAUAACGUUCCGAAAGGAGCGCUAAUACCCGAUAAGCUCACAGGGCCUUCGGGCCUAGGGAGAAAAUGGUGGGGAACCGUAAUAGGACCUGUCACUUUGAGAUGAGCCCGCGCCUUAUCAGGUAGUUGGUAGGGUAACGGCCUACCAAGCCUAUGACGAGUAGCUGGUCUGAGAGGAUGGUCAGCCACAUCGGGACUGAGACACUGCCCGGACUCCUACGGGAGGCUGCAGUCGAGGAUAUUUCGCAAUGGGGGCAACCCUGACGAAGCGACGCCGCGUGGAGGAUGAAGGUCUUCGGAUUGUAAACUCCUGUCACCAGGGACGAAAGAAGAGGGAUUAAUAAUCUCUCUUUUUGACGGUACUUGGAGAGGAAGCCACGGCUAACUCUGUGCCAGCAGCCGCGGUAAGACAGAGGUGGCAAGCGUUGUUCGGAUUUACUGGGUGUAAAGGGUACGUAGGCGGUUCGGAAAGUCGGAUGUGAAAUCCUAUGGCUCAACCAUAGAAUGGCAUCCGAUACUCCCGGGCUAGAGUGUGGGAGAGGAAGAUGGAAUUCCCGGUGUAAGGGUGAAAUCUGUAGAUAUCGGGAGGAACACCAGUGGCGAAGGCGAUCUUCUGGCCCAUUACUGACGCUCAGUGUACGAAAGCAGGGGGAGCAAACGGGAUUAGAUACCCCGGUAGUCCCUGCCUUAAACUAUGGACACUAGGUGUCGGUUCCGUUCAUACGGAGUCGGUGCCGUAGCUAACGCAUUAAGUGUCCCACCUGGGGAGUACAGUCGCAAGGCUGAAACUCAAAGAAAUUGACGGGGACCCGCACAAACGGUGGAGCAUGUGGUUUAAUACGACGAUACGCGUGGAACCUCACCCAGGCUUGACAUGUAGGAAGUAGGAACCUGAAAGGGGGACGACCGGUAUCCAGCCCGGAACUUACACAGGUGUUGCAUGGCUGUCGUCAGCUCGUGUCGUGAGAUGUUGGGUUAAGUCCCGCAACGAGCGCAACCCUUAUCUUUAGUUGCCAACGGGAAAGCCGGGAACUCUAAAAAAGACUG
RNAcentral lists this ribosomal RNA (1099 nucleotides) under uncultured bacterium. RNAcentral describes it as "bacterial SSU rRNA". It matches the Rfam family "Bacterial small subunit ribosomal RNA", at positions 89 to 1151 of the family's 1533-position model. The record is from RNAcentral.